RNAcentral lists this ribosomal RNA (495 nucleotides) under uncultured bacterium. RNAcentral describes it as "partial 16S ribosomal RNA". It matches the Rfam family "Bacterial small subunit ribosomal RNA", at positions 28 to 507 of the family's 1533-position model. The record is from RNAcentral.
GACGAACGCUGGCGGCGUGCCUAAUACAUGCAAGUCGAACGCUGAAGGAGGAGCUUGCUUCUCUGGAUGAGUUGCGAACGGGUGAGUAACGCGUAGGUAACCUGCCUGGUAGCGGGGGAUAACUAUUGGAAACGAUAGCUAAUACCGCAUAAUAGCAGUUGUUGCAUGACAACUGUUUGAAAGGUGCAAUUGCACCACUACCAGAUAGACCUGCGUUGUAUUAGCUAGUUGGUGGGGUAACGGCUCACCAAGGCGACGAUACAUAGCCGACCUGAGAGGGGGAUCGGCCACACUGGGACUGAGACACGGCCCAGACUCCUACGGGAGGCAGCAGUAGGGAAUCUUCGGCAAUGGACGGAAGUCUGACCGAGCAACGCCGCGUGAGGGAAGAAGGUUUUCGGAUCGUAAAGCUCUGUUGUAAGAGAAGAACGAGUGUGAGAGUGGAAAGUUCACACUGUGACGGUAUCUUACCAGAAAGGGACGGCUAACUACGUG